This 446-nucleotide ribosomal RNA is filed under the name uncultured bacterium. RNAcentral describes it as "SSU rRNA". It matches the Rfam family "Bacterial small subunit ribosomal RNA", at positions 26 to 518 of the family's 1533-position model. The record is from RNAcentral.
AGAAUGAACGCUGGCGGCAUGCCUAACACAUGCAAGUCGAACGAAGCCUUCGGGCUUAGUGGCGCACGGGUGCGUAACGCGUGGGAAUCUGCCCUUGGGUUCGGAAUAACAGCGAGAAAUUGCUGCUAAUACCGGAUGAUGACGUAAGUCCAAAGAUUUAUCGCCCAAGGAUGAGCCCGCGUAGGAUUAGCUAGUUGGUGAGGUAAAGGCUCACCAAGGCGACGAUCCUUAGCUGGUCUGAGAGGAUGAUCAGCCACACUGGGACUGAGACACGGCCCAGACUCCUACGGGAGGCAGCAGUGGGGAAUAUUGGACAAUGGGCGAAAGCCUGAUCCAGCAAUGCCGCGUGAGUGAUGAAGGCCUUAGGGUUGUAAAGCUCUUUUACCCGGGAUGAUAAUGACAGUACCGGGAGAAUAAGCUCCGGCUAACUCCGCGCCAGCAGCCGC